CCCUUAGAUGUUCUGGGCCGCACGCGCGCUACACUGAUGCAUUCAACGAGUUUUGUUUGUUCCUUGGCCGAGAGGCCUGGGCAAUCUUUUGAACUUGCAUCGUAAUAGGGAUAGAUUAUUGCAAUUAUUAAUCUUGAACGAGGAAUUCCUAGUAAACGCAGAUCAUCAAUCUGCAUUGAUUACGUCCCUGCCCUUUGUACACACCGCCCGUCGCACCUACCGAUUGAAUGGUCCGGUGAAUUACAUAGAAUUUUGCGUUUUACAUGACGGAAGACGAAGUGUUUUAAACCUUAUCAUUUAGAGGAAGGAGAAGUCGUAACA
RNAcentral lists this ribosomal RNA (321 nucleotides) under uncultured eukaryote. RNAcentral's name for it is "partial 18S ribosomal RNA". It matches the Rfam family "Eukaryotic small subunit ribosomal RNA", at positions 1470 to 1796 of the family's 1831-position model. The record is from RNAcentral.